RNAcentral lists this ribosomal RNA (253 nucleotides) under uncultured bacterium. Its description in RNAcentral is "partial 16S ribosomal RNA". It matches the Rfam family "Bacterial small subunit ribosomal RNA", at positions 524 to 776 of the family's 1533-position model. The record is from RNAcentral.
UACAGAGGUCCCGAGCGUUGUUCGGAAUCACUGGGCUUAAAGGGCGCGUAGGCGGGCCAUAAAGUCAGGGGUGAAAUCCUCCAGCUUAACUGGAGAACUGCCUUUGAUACUGAUGGUCUCGAGUAAGGUAGGGGCAUGCGGAACUGAUGGUGGAGCGGUGAAAUGUGUUGAUAUCGGAAGGAACGCCGGUGGCGAAAGCGAGCGACUGGACCUCUUCUGACGCUGAGGCGCGAAAGCUAGGGGAGCAAACGGG